RNAcentral lists this ribosomal RNA (440 nucleotides) under uncultured bacterium. RNAcentral describes it as "partial 16S ribosomal RNA". It matches the Rfam family "Bacterial small subunit ribosomal RNA", at positions 338 to 795 of the family's 1533-position model. The record is from RNAcentral.
CCUACGGGAGGCAGCAGUGGGGAAUAUUGCACAAUGGGGGGAACCCUGAUGCAGCAACGCCGCGGGGGUGAAGAAGUACUUCGGUAUGUAAAGCCCUGUCAGCAGGGAAGAAAAUGACGGUACCUGACCAAGAAGCCCCGGCUAACAACGUGCCAGCAGCCGCGGUAAUACGUAGGGGGCACGCGUUAUCCGGAUUUACUGGGUGUAAAGGGAGCGUAGACGGCAAGGCAAGUCUGGAGUGAAAGCCCGUGGCUCCACCACGGGCCUGCUUUGGAAACUGUGUUGCUGGCGUGCAGGAGGGGUAAGCGGCAUUCCUAGUGUAGCGGUGACAUGCGUAGAUAUUAGUAGGAACACCGGUGGCGAAGGCGGCUUACUGGACUGUAACUGACGUUGAGGCUCGAAGGCGUGGGGAGCAAACAGGAUUAGAUACCCUGGUAGUC